This is a long non-coding RNA of Mercenaria mercenaria, 2653 nucleotides long. RefSeq lists it as uncharacterized. The transcript has 3 exons. The record is from RefSeq and is a predicted model, not a curated record. NCBI's taxonomy places the organism in Eukaryota, Metazoa, Mollusca, Bivalvia, Venerida, Veneridae.
AUCAGUGCUGUUUUGUUAUACUUUCUCUGAACUUUCAGGUAUUUCAUAACCGGUUUGAUGGUUCAGUUGAUUUUUAUCGAGAUUUUUCUGAAUAUGAGAAUGGCUUUGGUGAUGUAAGAGGUGAAUUUUGGUUAGGAUUGAAGCAUAUACAACAGCUAGUUAUGCAAGAUAAAACCGAAAUUCGACUGGAAAUGAAAAGGAAUGAUGGUGAAGAAGGUUAUGAAGCAUAUCAAGACUUCAAGCUUUCAGGUGAUGCAAAUUAUAAGCUAUCAAUCGAUGUAGGCUCUGCAGACAGAUCAGUAGGAAUAUCAGCCAUAUAUUGUUUCGCCGGAAGCAAUGGUUAUUCUUUCGCAACAUUUGAUACGGAUGCAUUCGGAAGUUGUUCUUGUGCCGAACAAUACCACGGAGGGUGGUGGUAUGGCAGCACGUGUACAAUGGUAAAUCUUAACGGUAAAUAUUGUACUCCAGGAACAUUGUGUGGUGAUGGCAAAUAUCCAAAAAAAGGACACUAUCAUUACGGAUUUUCUCAGUACGAAUCUUUGAUGACAUCUCGAAUGAUGAUUAAACGUGUAUAAAAUAUACAAGUAAUGUCAGUAAUACAGGGGUGUAUUCCUUUCUUCGCACUUGAAAAUGUACUGCAAUGUUUUAUCAGCAACAUUUGAAUUAAGCUCGAGCCCGAUUCCUAGAUAAACCAAUAUUGGUAUCACGCGAGAAGGUGUGGUCGUUGUUCAAGUUAAGCUCGAACUCACAAGCUAGCGGACUGGAUCGCAUAUACGAUCAUGUGACAUUAAAAGGGAUAUUAUUUUCCUCCAUGUAAGGAGAGGAACGUGAAUUGUACAUAAACCUACACUUACAUAUGCCAUAGAACAGUAUAUAACUUCCUGAAAUUUGUAUAUAUUUUUUCAUUAAUUUUAACUGACGAAGCUUUAUUUUACCAUAAUAAGAAAUACAAUAUCAUGUGUGCAUUUCAUUUUAGGACGUAAAUCAAUCAACCAGAUAAGUUACUUAUGGGCCGGGGAGCUGGGUAUACUGAAGUCACGAUUCAGAUGAGAAAAAUUGUCUAGUGUUCUAAUAACUUGCUGUCAUAAAUGCAAAUCACACAACAUAUCUAUUUCAUUUAAACAGUUGUGAAGGAAUACACCUAGUGACUGUAACUAAUUUUGCUAUUAUAAAACAGUUUUCUUACAAACUGUACAUGUCCUCGUAUUGCUGUGUUUAUCUCUCAUAAAGUUCUCAGACAGUUUAACCCUUUAAAUUGUCUUAAUUUAACAUUUCACUGCUGCUUUUUGCGACUUACUUUGCGAUUUUUCAAGACUGUGGUUCUUCAUAUGUUUGAUUGCUCUUGAUGUCUACUUAUAUUGUAUGUAUAUAUAGUUGUCGAUGUUGAUCACAUACUAGUUUAAAUAUGUUCACGUAAUUAACAUUCAUAUACUACUGGCAAAUCAAAUUAUCAGAUUCGUUUGAAAUACUUAUCUGCCCAUGAAGUUAUCCUUUCUGUCCCUCAAUGGAAUGCAACCUAAGCUAUCUGGGUAUGUUUUUAUAAUCUGAGUCUUAAGGUCUAUAGGUAACUUAAAUUAUGUAGUAUAAUAUAUUUCAGAUGUAUUUUUUUUUAAUGUGCAUAUAUGGACAACUAAAACAAAACCUAUAGUUACCUCGUUAUAUCUCUAUUAAGUACGAAUUUUAAGGAGUGCUUAAACUAUGUAUAGCACAAUUAAGGUUUAAAAUAAAACAAAGCCAUUCAGUAAUUGGAGGCUGUACAAGUAUGCUCAACUCACUUCAAAUACCUCAUCCCUGUGAUAAAUAUGCUAGCAGGAGAUCUCCACUGUCGGCAAGAAGCAGAUGUCACAGAAAAAUCCCUAGAACGAACUGUCUAGUAUCACAGACUUCAAAAUAUCAUAGUUUUAUCAUCUUGACAUUUACAUCAAAGCGUCGUUACUUUACAUGUACAAUUAUUUUCAUGUGAAGUGUUGUAUGGAGGGUUGCGUUUUUUUUUGUCUGGUUAAAGGUCAAUGCAAGUCUGAACUCAGAUAACAAAUAGUAUGUGAUACAGUUUCCUUAGGCAGGUAGCAUUUAGAAUAGAGUAUCCGAAAAUCCUCCAACUAACGUUUAGUUUAAAGUAUUUCAUUUUUAAAAAGAUACAGCAACUAUUUCUUAUUUGCACGAAAGCAACGGAAUGUUUUAUACAGAUGGUGCGAGCGUAAUCACCGAGAUUUUAUGCCCGAUUCAUAUACGGUGUUGGAGAGAGAAUUAUUUGCGAUAUUUUUUCCACCUUCCUUUUGUUAGGUAUAUAAUAACAAAUGUUAUAAUUUGAAAGACGGACAAGCCCAUUAUAGAAAUUUAGUGGGGCAAGAGUUAAACUCAAGUCUGAAUAAUUGACCUACUCUGUACACAAUCUUAAAAAGUUCAAUUUAAAUGCGUAACUCGAUUGCUACAAUAUGGUGUUGUAAAUGUUACAUAAGAAAGAUAUCUGAUAAAGACUUCUCCAGCUGCAGCAAUUAAAAACUCUAUUGUUUAAUGUUUCUUGUAUACAAGACUUCGUUUGUAUGUAACAAGACUUUAUUCAUAUUAACUAUAUUUUAUCUUAUUCAAUGAAUACAACUAUAAACAAUUCAAGCAUGCUCUUAAUGAGUGUUUCUAACGACUUGAUCCAAUU